This 21-nucleotide microRNA is filed under the name Monodelphis domestica (gray short-tailed opossum). Its description in RNAcentral is "mdo-miR-7346-3p". Lineage: Eukaryota; Metazoa; Chordata; Mammalia; Didelphimorphia; Didelphidae. The record is from miRBase by way of RNAcentral.
GCCGGGCGGCUGCGCUCCCGC